This 450-nucleotide ribosomal RNA is filed under the name uncultured Glomeromycotina. RNAcentral describes it as "SSU rRNA". It matches the Rfam family "Eukaryotic small subunit ribosomal RNA", at positions 569 to 1024 of the family's 1831-position model. Lineage: Eukaryota; Fungi; Glomeromycota. The record is from RNAcentral.
AGCAGCCGCGGUAAUUCCAGCUCCAAUAGCGUAUAUUAAAGUUGUUGCAGUUAAAAAGCUCGUAGUUGAAUUUCGGGAUUAGUACGCUGGUCGUGCCUUCGGUACGUACUGGUGUUACUGAUUUCUACCUUCUGACGAACCAUCAUGUCAUUAAUUUGGUGUGGUGGGGAAUCAGGACUGUUACUUUGAAAAAAUUAGAGUGUUUAAAGCAGGCUCGCGCUUGAAUACAUUAGCAUGGAAUAAUGAAAUAGGACGUUGAUCCUAUUUUGUUGGUUUCUAGGAUUGACGUAAUGAUUAAUAGGGAUAGUUGGGGGCAUUAGUAUUCAAUUGUCAGAGGUGAAAUUCUUGGAUUUAUUGAAGACUAACUACUGCGAAAGCAUUUGCCAAGGAUGUUUUCAUUAAUCAAGAACGAAAGUUAGGGGAUCGAAGACGAUCAGAUACCGUCGUAGU